CCUACGGGAGGCAGCAGUAAGGAAUAUUGGACAAUGCUCGCAAGAGUGAUCCAGCCAUGCCGCGUGCAGGAAGAAUGCCCUAUGGGUAGUAAACUGCUUUUGAACUAGAGAAAACCCCAGUACGUGUACUGGGCUGAUAGUAUAGUUAGAAUAAGCAUCGGCUAACUUCGUGCCAGCAGCCGCGGUAAGACGAAGGAUGCAAGCGUUAUCCGGAUUCAUUGGGUUUAAAGGGAGCGUAGGUGGACUGAUAAGUCAGUGGUGAAAUCUCCGAGCUUAACUCGGAAAUUGCCAUUGAUACUGUUGGUCUUGAGUACAGUUGCUGUGGGCGGAAUAUGACAUGUAGUGGUGAAAUACAUAGAGAUGUCAUAGAACACCGAUUGCGAAGGCAGCUCACAAAGCUGUAACUGACACUGAGGCUCGAAAGUGCGGGGAUCAAACAGGAUUAGAUACCCUGGUAGUCCGCACCGUAAACGAUGAUUACUCGCUGCUAGGGGGCAACCUUUAGUGGCUUAGCGAAAGCGAUAAGUAAUCCACCUGGGGAGUACGCCGGCAACGGUGAAACGUUAAGGAAUUGACGGNGNGAGAGNGCGAGGACGACACGAGGGAGAGG
RNAcentral lists this ribosomal RNA (610 nucleotides) under uncultured bacterium. RNAcentral describes it as "bacterial SSU rRNA". It matches the Rfam family "Bacterial small subunit ribosomal RNA", at positions 338 to 950 of the family's 1533-position model. The record is from RNAcentral.